Diachasmimorpha longicaudata is the source of this 880-nucleotide long non-coding RNA. RefSeq lists it as uncharacterized. The transcript has 2 exons. The record is from RefSeq and is a predicted model, not a curated record. NCBI's taxonomy places the organism in Eukaryota, Metazoa, Arthropoda, Insecta, Hymenoptera, Braconidae.
GAAUUAUCACGGAGUACGUGACAUUCAAUUCCUGAGGCGAUUUGCGAAUUUUUUAAGGCUCCAGGGAUUCGGUCAAGUCGCUGUCUAGGUUUUUCGCAUUUUUUUCGACUCCUGGGCCUUCUGGGGCAAAACGGGCCCGAAUUUGGCAUCAUCCUGUUUUGAGACAAUUUGCGAUUUUUUUAAGGCUCCGGAAAUACUAUAAAAUCGAUUUUUCCCUUUUUCGCAUUUUGGCGAUUUUGGCAUUUAAAUGUUUUUGGAGUAUGACUCGGUAGACAUUUUUUACGAAAAAAGUCAUUACAGAAGGAAUCGAGGUGGAGAGAGUCAAUGAAUUAUCGGCACCAAAUUUAUUCUGCCAUACUUACGUCAAAUACUUAUUCCAAAAACACAUAAAUAUUCCGUAUACAUAAACAGUGAAUCAUACAUGUAAAUGUUAGAGAGAAAAUUAUUGAGGAAAAUUAUCGACCUCAUCGUUGCACAUUUAAACGCAUUCCUUCAAUUCCUCGAGUACAAUAUUUGCUACUUCGCAGUGCAAACACAACACGUGAAAAUGAUUAAACAAUUACUGGCCUCGACAUUCCUGAUAUUGGGAGUUAUGACGUACUGCAGUGCAGAAUGUCCUCCGAAUUCGUCAAGCACCACUUGUGGCCUAGCAUGUGAACCUAGCUGUGAAGUUCCGGUGCACAAACCAAUCGCAUGUCCACGAAUUGUAUGUUUUCCUAUUGCAGAAGGUCCUUGUCGUUGUAACGUCGGUUUCUAUAGGAAUUCCGCAGGGAAUUGUGUGAAAUUAGAGGAGUGUGAGGACGAAUAAAAAUCAAAAUCAUCGGCUAUUAUUUCUGUAAUGGAAUUGGGACUCGAAUAAACAAUACAUUGUUAUUCAUCA